Molecule: transfer RNA, 87 nt
Filed under: Lawsonia intracellularis PHE/MN1-00
Lineage: Bacteria; Pseudomonadati; Thermodesulfobacteriota; Desulfovibrionia; Desulfovibrionales; Desulfovibrionaceae
Rfam family: tRNA
About the family: Transfer RNA (tRNA) molecules are approximately 80 nucleotides in length. Their secondary structure includes four short double-helical elements and three loops (D, anti-codon, and T loops).
Source: Rfam by way of RNAcentral
GGAAGGGUGGCAGAGUGGCUUAAUGCGGCGGUCUUGAAAACCGUUGACGUUGCAAGGCGUCCGGGGGUUCAAAUCCCUCCCCUUCCG